GGCGUAUAUAAAAUACCGAAUGAUGUUUGAAAAACGAAGCGCUAGCCGUGAAAUUCAACGUGAAGGUUCAGUUAAUUUUAAUAUGGGCGCUUAUUAGAUAACCAUAUGGCGCUUCAUGGUCCUUUGUGUUUUGAAUUAUUAAUGGUUUGAGAACUCAUAUAUAAUAUUGAAAGAUAUACAAAGAUAUAUUUUGAUAAAUACUGGUAUGCUAAAAGGAAGUUAAAUUUCUCAUGCAGUCAGGAUGUUUUAAGCCUGCAUCAAACGAGAAUGAAGUGCUAGAGAGUUGGCAGUCACGUGACCUUGGUUAGCUGUUUUUUUAAUAUUUUCCCAACACUAUCAUGUAUUUAUUUAUUUAUUCAAGUCUGAAAACAGAAUUUUAGUCCGGAUCAAACGAGAAUGAAAGUACAUGAGAGUUGGCAGUCACGUGACCUUGGUUAGCUGUUUUAAAUACUUUCCCAACACUAUCAUGUAUUUAUUUAUUUAUUCAAGUCUGAAAACAGAAUUUUAGUCCGGAUCAAACGAGAAUGAAAGUACAUGAGAGUUGGCAGUCACGUGACCUUGGUUAGCUGUUUUAAAUACUUUCCCAACACUAUCAUGUAUUUAUUUAUUUAUUCAAGUCUGAAAACAGAAUUUUAGUCCGGAUCAAACGAGAAUGAAAGUACAUGAGAGUUGGCAGUCACGUGACCUUGGUUAGCUGUUUUAAAUACUUUCCCAACACUAUCAUGUAUUUAUUUAUUUAUUCAAGUCUGAAAACAGAAUUUUAGUCCGGAUCAAACGAGAAUGAAAGUACAUGAGAGUUGGCAGUCACGUGACCUUGGUUAGCUGUUUUAAAUACUUUCCCAACACUAUCAUGUAUUUAUUUAUUUAUUCAAGUCUGAAAACAGAAUUUUAGUCCGGAUCAAACGAGAAUGAAAGUACAUGAGAGUUGGCAGUCACGUGACCUUGGUUAGCUGUUUUAAAUACUUUCCCAACACUAUCAUGUAUUUAUUUAUUUAAGUCUGAAAACAGAAUUUUAGUCCUGCGUCAAACGAGAAUGAGAGUGCAUGAGAGUUGACAGUCACGUGACCUUGGUUAGCUGUUCUUAAAUCUGAAAUACUUUCCCAACACUAUCAUGUAUUUAUUUAUUUAAGUCUGAAAACAGAAUUUUAUUCCUGAUCAAACGAGAAUGAGAAUACAUGAGAGUUGGCAGUCACGUGACCUUGGUUAGCUGUUUAAAUACUUUCCCAACACUAUCAUGUAUUUAUUUAUUUAUUUAUUCAAGUCUGAAAACAGAAUUUUAGUCCGCAUCAAACGAGAAUGAGAGUGUAUGAGAGUUGGCAGUCACGUGACCUUGGUUAGCUGUUUUUUUAAUACUUUCCCAACACUAUCGUGUAUUUAUUUAUUUAUUUAUUCAAGUCUGAAAACAGAAUUUUAGUCCGCAUCAAACGAGAAUGAGAGUUGGCAGUCACGUGACCUUGGUUGGCUGUUUGUUAGCU
Paramuricea clavata is the source of this 1475-nucleotide non-coding RNA. The record is from the annotation of a GenBank genome assembly. Lineage: Eukaryota; Metazoa; Cnidaria; Anthozoa; Malacalcyonacea; Plexauridae.